AUCCAGCUGACGAGUUCCAAAUAGGAUAAAACGCACGUCAAACUGGAU
RNAcentral lists this non-coding RNA (48 nucleotides) under Schistosoma mansoni. Lineage: Eukaryota; Metazoa; Platyhelminthes; Trematoda; Strigeidida; Schistosomatidae. The record is from RNAcentral.